CCCUGGCUCAGAACGAACGCUGGCGGCAGGCUUAACACAUGCAAGUCGAGCGCCCCGCAAGGGGAGCGGCAGACGGGUGAGUAACGCGUGGGAAUCUACCCAACUCUACGGAAUAACUCAGGGAAACUUGUGCUAAUACCGUAUACGCCCUUCGGGGGAAAGAUUUAUCGGAGUUGGAUGAGCCCGCGUUGGAUUAGCUAGUUGGUGGGGUAAAGGCCUACCAAGGCGACGAUCCAUAGCUGGUCUGAGAGGAUGAUCAGCCACAUUGGGACUGAGACACGGCCCAAACUCCUACGGGAGGCAGCAGUGGGGAAUAUUGGACAAUGGGCGCAAGCCUGAUCCAGCCAUGCCGCGUGUGUGAUGAAGGCCUUAGGGUUGUAAAGCACUUUCACCGGAGAAGAUAAUGACGGUAUCCGGAGAAGAAGCCCGGCUAACU
RNAcentral lists this ribosomal RNA (436 nucleotides) under Rhizobium sp. CL2.23. Its description in RNAcentral is "bacterial SSU rRNA". It matches the Rfam family "Bacterial small subunit ribosomal RNA", at positions 17 to 502 of the family's 1533-position model. The record is from RNAcentral. Lineage: Bacteria; Pseudomonadati; Pseudomonadota; Alphaproteobacteria; Hyphomicrobiales; Rhizobiaceae.